This is a long non-coding RNA of Asterias rubens (European starfish), 322 nucleotides long. RefSeq lists it as uncharacterized. The transcript is spliced from 3 exons. The record is from RefSeq and is a predicted model, not a curated record. NCBI's taxonomy places the organism in Eukaryota, Metazoa, Echinodermata, Asteroidea, Forcipulatida, Asteriidae.
ACAAAAUGAAUGAACCAUUUGUGUACAGUCUCUCACAUUCCUCUCCAGCAAAUUCAAGGUUUUACCAUUUACUGAGUUUCAAGGACACAUCUACACCACAACAAGUUCAUGCUACAGACAAAUGAAGUCUACCCCUCGAAGAUGCCUGAUUUGAAGCUGACAGGUGUCGAGAUUCAACGAUGUCUUCUCCAUAUCAACAGGUCAUCUUUCAAGUGCUUCGACGAUGACGACUUGAUGCUGUUCAAUGAUGAUGAAUAUUUCUAGUAUGGCCUACGACAGCUGCCCACCUUAGCAAGCUGACAGCUGCCCGCCUGGAAACAAA